Molecule: ribosomal RNA, 485 nt
Filed under: uncultured bacterium
Lineage: Bacteria
Description: partial 16S ribosomal RNA
Rfam family: Bacterial small subunit ribosomal RNA
Source: RNAcentral
AUUGAACGCUGGCGGCAUGCCUUACACAUGCAAGUCGAACGGCAGCGCGGACUUCGGUCUGGCGGCGAGUGGCGAACGGGUGAGUAAUACAUCGGAACGUACCCUGUUGUGGGGGAUAACUAGUCGAAAGAUUAGCUAAUACCGCAUACGACCUGAGGGUGAAAGUGGGGGACCGGAAACGGCCUCAUGCAGCAGGAGCGGCCGAUGUCUGAUUAGCUAGUUGGUGGGGUAAAGGCCCACCAAGGCGACGAUCAGUAGCUGGUCUGAGAGGACGAUCAGCCACACUGGGACUGAGACACGGCCCAGACUCCUACGGGAGGCAGCAGUGGGGAAUUUUGGACAAUGGGGGCAACCCUGAUCCAGCAAUGCCGCGUGUGUGAAGAAGGCCUUCGGGUUGUAAAGCACUUUUGUCCGGAAAGAAAUCGCGCUGGUUAAGACCUGGCGUGGAUGACGGUACCGGAAGAAUAAGCACCGGCUAACUACGU